GCGCCUGUAGCUCAGGGGAUAGAGCAAUGGUUUCCGGUACCAUGUGGCGGGGGUUCGAAUCCCUCCAGACGCA
Molecule: transfer RNA, 73 nt
Filed under: Lachnospiraceae bacterium
Lineage: Bacteria; Bacillati; Bacillota; Clostridia; Lachnospirales; Lachnospiraceae
Description: tRNA-Arg
Rfam family: tRNA
About the family: Transfer RNA (tRNA) molecules are approximately 80 nucleotides in length. Their secondary structure includes four short double-helical elements and three loops (D, anti-codon, and T loops).
Source: RNAcentral